AUUGAACGCUGGCGGCAGGCCUAACACAUGCAAGUCGAGCGGAUGAAGGGAGCUUGCUCCUGGAUUCAGCGGCGGACGGGUGAGUAAUGCUUAGGAAUCUGCCUGGUAGUGGGGGAUAACGUCCGGAAACGGGCGCUAAUACCGCAUACGUCCUGAGGGAGAAAGUGGGGGAUCUUCGGACCUCACGCUAUCAGAUGAGCCAAGGUCGGAUUAGCUAGUUGGUGGGGUAAAGGCCUACCAAGGCGACGAUCCGUAACUGGUCUGAGAGGAUGAUCAGUCACACUGGAACUGAGACACGGUCCAGACUCCUACGGGAGGCAGCAGUGGGGAAUAUUGGACAAUGGGCGAAAGCCUGAUCCAGCCAUGCCGCGUGUGUGAAGAAGGUCUUCGGAUUGUAAAGCACUUUAAGUUGGGAGGAAGGGCAGUAAGUUAAUACCUUGCUGUUUUGACGUUACCAACAGAAUAAGCACCGGCUAACUUCGUG
Molecule: ribosomal RNA, 484 nt
Filed under: uncultured bacterium
Lineage: Bacteria
Description: partial 16S ribosomal RNA
Rfam family: Bacterial small subunit ribosomal RNA
Source: RNAcentral